AUUGAACGCUGGCGGCAUGCUUUACACAUGCAAGUCGAACGGUAACAGGCCGCAAGGUGCUGACGAGUGGCGAACGGGUGAGUAAUGCAUCGGAACGUGCCCAGUCGUGGGGGAUAACUACUCGAAAGAGUAGCUAAUACCGCAUACGAUCUAUGGAUGAAAGCGGGGGACCGUAAGGCCUCGCGCGAUUGGAGCGGCCGAUGUCAGAUUAGGUAGUUGGUGGGGUAAAGGCUCACCAAGCCAACGAUCUGUAGCUGGUCUGAGAGGACGACCAGCCACGCUGGGACUGAGACACGGCCCAGACUCCUACGGGAGGCAGCAGUGGGGAAUUUUGGACAAUGGGCGCAAGCCUGAUCCAGCAAUGCCGCGUGCAGGAAGAAGGCCUUCGGGUUGUAAACUGCUUUUGUACGGAACGAAACGGCUCCGGUUAAUACCCGGGGCUAAUGACGGUACCGUAAGAAUAAGCACCGGCUAACUACGUG
RNAcentral lists this ribosomal RNA (482 nucleotides) under uncultured bacterium. Its description in RNAcentral is "partial 16S ribosomal RNA". It matches the Rfam family "Bacterial small subunit ribosomal RNA", at positions 30 to 507 of the family's 1533-position model. The record is from RNAcentral.